RNAcentral lists this ribosomal RNA (429 nucleotides) under Gemmatimonadota bacterium. Its description in RNAcentral is "Gemmatimonadetes bacterium partial 16S ribosomal RNA". It matches the Rfam family "Bacterial small subunit ribosomal RNA", at positions 355 to 776 of the family's 1533-position model. Lineage: Bacteria; Pseudomonadati; Gemmatimonadota. The record is from RNAcentral.
UAGGGAAUCUUCGGCAAUGGACGAAAGUCUGACCGAGCAACGCCGCGUGAGUGAAGAAGGUUUUCGGAUCGUAAAACUCUGUUGUUAGAGAAGAACAAGGACGUUAGUAACUGAACGUCCCCUGACGGUAUCUAACCAGAAAGCCACGGCUAACUACGUGCCAGCAGCCGCGGUAAUACGUAGGUGGCAAGCGUUGUCCGGAUUUAUUGGGCGUAAAGCGAGCGCAGGCGGUUUCUUAAGUCGGAUGUGAAAGCCCCCGGCUCAACCGGGGAGGGUCAUUGGAAACUGGGGGACUUGAGUGCAGAAGAGGAGAGUGGAAUUCCGUGUGUAGCGGUGAAAUGCGUAGAUAUAUGGAGGAACACCAGUGGCGAAGGCGGCUCUCUGGUCUGUAACUGACGCUGAGGCUCGAAAGCGUGGGGAGCAAACAGG